Molecule: unclassified non-coding RNA, 21 nt
Filed under: Penicillium rubens Wisconsin 54-1255
Lineage: Eukaryota; Fungi; Ascomycota; Eurotiomycetes; Eurotiales; Aspergillaceae
Description: small non coding RNA
Source: RNAcentral
UAUCUUGCAAUAUGCAAAAUA